Molecule: ribosomal RNA, 207 nt
Filed under: uncultured bacterium
Lineage: Bacteria
Description: partial 16S ribosomal RNA
Rfam family: Bacterial small subunit ribosomal RNA
Source: RNAcentral
UUCGUAGGCGGUUUUUCGCGUCGGAUGUGAAAACUCAGGGCUCAACCCUGAGCCUGCAUUCGAUACGGGAAGACUCGAGGACGGCAGGGGAGACUGGAACUUCUGGUGUAGCGGUGGAAUGCGCAGAUAUCAGAAAGAACACCAAUGGCGAAGGCAGGUCUCUGGGCCGAUCCUGACGCUGAGGAACGAAAGCGUGGGGAGCAAACA